This 431-nucleotide ribosomal RNA is filed under the name uncultured bacterium. RNAcentral's name for it is "partial 16S ribosomal RNA". It matches the Rfam family "Bacterial small subunit ribosomal RNA", at positions 29 to 507 of the family's 1533-position model. The record is from RNAcentral.
AGCGAACGCUGGCGGCAGGCUUAACACAUGCAAGUCGAGCGCCCCGCAAGGGGAGCGGCCGACGGGAGAGUAACACGUGGGAACAUACCUUUUGGUUCGGAACAACUGAGGGAAACUUCAGCUAAUACCGGAUAAGCCCUUACGGGGAAAGAUUUAUCGCCGAAAGAUUGGCCCGCGUCUGAUUAGCUAGUUGGUGAGGUAACGGCUCACCAAGGCGACGAUCAGUAGCUGGUCUGAGAGGAUGAUCAGCCUCACUGGGACUGAGACACGGCCCAGAAUCCUACGGGAGGCAGCAGUGGGGAAUAUUGGACAAUGGGGGCAACCAUGAUCCAGCCAUGCCGCGUGAGUGAUGAAGGCCUUAGGGUUGUAAAGCUCUUUUGCCCGGGAAGAUAAUGACGGUACCGAGAGAAUAAGCCCCGGCUAACUUCGUG